UGCAGAAUCCCGCGAACCAUUGAGUCUUUGAACGCAAGUUGCGCCCGAGGCCUUCCGGUCGAGGGCACGCCUGCCUGGGCGUCACGC
This 87-nucleotide ribosomal RNA is filed under the name Ischnosiphon arouma. RNAcentral describes it as "partial 5.8 ribosomal RNA". It matches the Rfam family "5.8S ribosomal RNA", at positions 73 to 154 of the family's 154-position model. From Rfam's summary of the family: 5.8S ribosomal RNA (5.8S rRNA) is a component of the large subunit of the eukaryotic ribosome. It is transcribed by RNA polymerase I as part of the 45S precursor that also contains 18S and 28S rRNA. The record is from RNAcentral. Lineage: Eukaryota; Viridiplantae; Streptophyta; Magnoliopsida; Zingiberales; Marantaceae.